Molecule: ribosomal RNA, 497 nt
Filed under: uncultured bacterium
Lineage: Bacteria
Description: partial 16S ribosomal RNA
Rfam family: Bacterial small subunit ribosomal RNA (bases 51-497)
Source: RNAcentral
GGGGGGGGGGGGGGGCGGGGCGAAGAGAGGGAGGGCGAGGGGACGGACGAGGGGCGGGCGUCGCUGAUGUUAGCGGCGGACGGGGGGGGAACACGGGGAUAACCUACCUAUAAGACUGGGAUAACUUCGGGAAACCGUAGCUAAUGCCGGAUAAUAUUUUGAACAGCAUGGGUCAAAAGGGAAAGACGGUCUUGCGGUCACUUAUAGAUGGAUCCGCGCUGCAUUAGCUAGUUGGUAAGGUAACGGCUUACCAAGGCAACGAUGCAUAGCCGACCUGAGAGGGUGAUCGGCCACACUUGAACUGAGACACGGUCCAGACUCCUACGGGAGGCAGCAGUAGGGAAUCUUCCGCAAUGGGCGAAAGCCUGACGGAGCAACGCCGCGUGAGUGAUGAAGGUCUUCGGAUCGUAAAACUCUGUUAUUAGGGAAGAACAUAUGUGUAAGUAACUGUGCACAUCUUGACGGUACCUAAUCAGAAAGCCACGGCUAACUACGUG